Molecule: ribosomal RNA, 253 nt
Filed under: uncultured bacterium
Lineage: Bacteria
Description: partial 16S ribosomal RNA
Rfam family: Bacterial small subunit ribosomal RNA
Source: RNAcentral
UACGAAGGUCCCAAGCGUUAUCCGGAUUUAUUGGGUUUAAAGGGUGCGUAGGCGGCUUAUUAAGUCAGUGGUGAAAGCCCCAAGCUUAACUUGGGAACUGCCAUUGAUACUGAUGAGCUUGAGUAGAUUUGAGGCGGGCGGAAUGUGUCGUGUAGCGGUGAAAUGCUUAGAUAUGACACAGAACACCAAUUGCGUAGGCAGCUCGCUAAACUCUUACUGACGCUGAGGCACGGAAGCAUGGGGAUCAAACAGG